CCCCAUAGUCUGGGAUACCACUUGGAAACAGGUGCUAAUACCGGAUAAGAAAGCGGAUCGCAUGAUCAGCUUUUAAAAGGCGGCGUAAGCUGUCGCUAUGGGAUGGCCCCGCGGUGCAUUAGCUAGUUGGUAGGGUAAAGGCUUACCAAGGCGAUGAUGCAUAGCCGAGUUGAGAGACUGAUCGGCCACAUUGGGACUGAGACACGGCCCAAAACUCCUACGGGAGGCAGCAGAG
RNAcentral lists this ribosomal RNA (235 nucleotides) under uncultured Lactobacillus sp. RNAcentral's name for it is "partial 16S ribosomal RNA". It matches the Rfam family "Bacterial small subunit ribosomal RNA", at positions 129 to 354 of the family's 1533-position model. The record is from RNAcentral. Lineage: Bacteria; Bacillati; Bacillota; Bacilli; Lactobacillales; Lactobacillaceae.